GUGUCGCCAGGAUUGUGGGGGGAGAGAGAAAGAGAUCUUUUACCGGUAAGUUGGGGCGGUGCAGCCAUCUCUCCCGGCGCAGGACCGGCCCCCGCCGCCCCCACCGCCCCCGCCGCCCCCACCAAACUUACACUCCCGACCCUCGCUCCGCCGCCCCGCACGCUCAUUCCCGCCGACAAAAACGGAGGGGAAGAAAAAAAAAAGCCAACGAGCAAAAUGCAAUCCUUGGAGGAGGAGGAGGAGGAGAAAGCAGGGCAACAGCAGCAGCAACCGAGCUCGAUGCCCUGCGGGAGGUUUGCAGCGAGGAGGCUCCCGCCUGCCCCGCAAAAACGCCCCCCGGUUCUCCCUUCCCCCUCUCCCGGGCUCGGUGCGGGAGCGGGUGGGAGGGAAGGAGGGAGGGAAGGGGGGGAAAAACCCUGGGAAAGCCAAAGCAGCGGGGGUGGGGUUUUAGGGUUACUACCUACCAGCUGAUUCCAGCGGCCUUUCUUCCGCCGCCCUGUCAUCUUGGAGGAGCCGAGAGAGAGGGAAAAAGUGCGAGGGUGCGGGAGUCGGUCCUCUGUGCGGGUCUGUGCCUGAGCGGGAGAGGAGGAAAAAGACAGGCCGACUCCUUCCUCAAUUCCCUCCCCACCUUCCUCCUCCUCCUCCUCCCCCGAUGCACAGGAAUCUAG
This 668-nucleotide long non-coding RNA is filed under the name Ornithorhynchus anatinus (platypus). Its description in RNAcentral is "lncRNA (ENSOANG00000045716.1)". The record is from RNAcentral. Lineage: Eukaryota; Metazoa; Chordata; Mammalia; Monotremata; Ornithorhynchidae.